RNAcentral lists this small nucleolar RNA (126 nucleotides) under Castor canadensis (American beaver). The record is from RNAcentral. Lineage: Eukaryota; Metazoa; Chordata; Mammalia; Rodentia; Castoridae.
GACAUUUCUCUUGGUUGUAAAAGUAUAUGAGGAAAAAAAGGAGCCCAGAGUAACAGUUUUUUCCUUGAUGGUUGCCUUUUUGCUUGCUGUAAUUGAUCUGACAAACAUUUUGGGAAAAACACAGAU